GGGGCCAUUGGGCGCUUGCCGUUCUAGGAUAAAGGGACAUCAGAGGGUUCCGUUUGAUAUCAGUAACUGUUACCUCUCGCCGGUAGUCAGGUAAAAUAGGUUAAUAAACAUGUCACCAUGCGGCUUAACUUUGGAAGAACAGCUGUCGUCCAUAAUGGACGUACUUGCGAAAUCGGCUGUAUCUGAAAUUAGCCAACUGUUCUCGGAGGGGUCGGCUUCUCUUCGCUUAGAAGUAACUCAGAGCCGCAAAGAAAACGAAUUGCUGAGGAUGAGGAUGAAGGUGAUGAGGAGUGAGCUGUUUUCUUUGCGGCUUAAAACAAGAUCAAAUACAUCGAGUGCGGAAAGUGGUUUUGCCCUGGCUCGAGCCAACAUCAGCAAACUACGGACUAAAUCAAUGGAAAAUGGCCUAAAGCCCCUGAUGGACCACAAGGCAGUUGUACAUCCCCCUUUUCAUUCACCAUCCAAAAGUGAGGCUUUGUCAGUUACAAGUCCAGCAGAGCAGGAGUCCCCCAAAAUCAUUUUGAUCAAGAUUGAAGAGGAUAUCAGUGGAUGCAGGCCAGCAGGUAAUUUUGUGCUCAGCUCAUUUUGCACUGGUGUUCGUUCAUUGUCCUCGAACUGGACACCGGCUUAAGCUUCAUGUCUAUGGAGGAGAGGGCUUGAGGAGACGUCUCUCUCUGAAACUGAAUUUGUGGCUGAAAAGAUUGCGACGCCUUUGGAGACCGCAUCUCGCAGAGCGGAGCCACCUUGGAGAGUCUGCAUGCCCCUGGCUCCUCCCAUGUGUCCAGUCAAAACACGGAGCUGCGGAUCCUGAGUGUCCACCGACAAGG
Long non-coding RNA from Gadus macrocephalus (Pacific cod), 827 nucleotides. RefSeq lists it as uncharacterized. The transcript has 5 exons. The record is from RefSeq and is a predicted model, not a curated record. Lineage: Eukaryota; Metazoa; Chordata; Actinopteri; Gadiformes; Gadidae.